CCAUUAAAGCGGUACGCGAGCUGGGUUCAGAACGUCGUGAGACAGUUCGGUCCCUAUCCGUCGUGGGCGUAGGAAAUUUGAGAGGAGCUGUCCUUAGUACGAGAGGACCGGGAUGGACAUACCUCUGGUGUACCAGUUGUCGUGCCAACGGCAUAGCUGGGUAGCUAUGUGUGGACGGGAUAAGUGCUGAAAGCAUCUAAGCAUGAAGCCCCCCUCAAGAUGAGAUUUCCCAACUUCGGUUAUAAGAUCCCUCAAAGAUGAUGAGGUUAAUAGGUUCGAGGUGGAAGCAUGGUGACAUGUGGAGCUGACGAAUACUAAUCGAUCGAAGACUUAAUCAA
RNAcentral lists this ribosomal RNA (338 nucleotides) under Staphylococcus aureus. RNAcentral describes it as "partial 23S ribosomal RNA". It matches the Rfam family "Bacterial large subunit ribosomal RNA", at positions 2585 to 2925 of the family's 2925-position model. The record is from RNAcentral. Lineage: Bacteria; Bacillati; Bacillota; Bacilli; Caryophanales; Staphylococcaceae.